AUUGAACGCUAGCGGGAUGCUUUACACAUGCAAGUCGAACGGCAGCGCGGACUUCGGUCUGGCGGCGAGUGGCGAACGGGUGAGUAAUGUAUCGGAACGUGCCCAGUAGCGGGGGAUAACUACGCGAAGGCGUAGCUAAUACCGCAUACGCCCUACGGGGGAAAGCAGGGGAUCGUAAGACCUUGCACUAUUGGAGCGGCCGAUAUCGGAUUAGCUAGUUGGUGAGGUAACGGCUCACCAAGGCGACGAUCCGUAGCUGGUUUGAGAGGACGACCAGCCACACUGGGACUGAGACACGGCCCAGACUCCUACGGGAGGCAGCAGUGGGGAAUUUUGGACAAUGGGGGCAACCCUGAUCCAGCCAUCCCGCGUGUGCGAUGAAGGCCUUCGGGUUGUAAAGCACUUUUGGCAGGAAAGAAACGUCGCGGGCUAAUACCCCGUGGAACUGACGGUACCUGCAGAAUAAACACCGGCUAACUACGU
This 483-nucleotide ribosomal RNA is filed under the name uncultured bacterium. Its description in RNAcentral is "partial 16S ribosomal RNA". It matches the Rfam family "Bacterial small subunit ribosomal RNA", at positions 30 to 506 of the family's 1533-position model. The record is from RNAcentral.